RNAcentral lists this ribosomal RNA (325 nucleotides) under uncultured bacterium. Its description in RNAcentral is "bacterial SSU rRNA". It matches the Rfam family "Bacterial small subunit ribosomal RNA", at positions 28 to 334 of the family's 1533-position model. The record is from RNAcentral.
GAUGAACGCUGGCGGCGUGCUUAACACAUGCAAGUCGAACGGAGGACCCUUGAAGGAGUUUUCGGACAACUGAUAGGAAUCCUUAGUGGCGGACGGGUGAGUAACGCGUGAGUAACCUGCCUUGGAGUGGGGAAUAACAGCUGGAAACAGCUGCUAAUACCGCAUAAUAUAUCUGGGUCGCAUGGCUCUGGAUAUCAAAGAUUUAUCGCUCUGAGAUGGACUCGCGUCUGAUUAGCUAGUUGGUGGGGCAACGGCCCACCAAGGCGACGAUCAGUAGCCGGACUGAGAGGUUGGCCGGCCACAUUGGGACUGAGACACGGCCCAG